GGGCUCUGUUGCUCAAUUUUGAUUUCAGUAUAAUGGAAGGAAGCCUACAGUCUGACCUAUACAACUUUAUUCUUGCUUUACCCCUGGGGUCUAGGUUACAGUCUGAGCUCAGAUGCAUUUGGAUCAUGCAGGUUCUGCUGUGUCUCCAGGACCGAAUGCAGCUGUCUGUCCCCAGACUGAGCAUAGGAGACAUGCAGGAGGACAAUCUUCAGAGGAGCAACCCCGAGUGCCUAGUGAACAGCAAUAGCACGCACGUGCAGGUGGAGAUACCUCUUGAGAGGUGCGGCACCAGGAGGAAGUUGCUUGAAUUUAAAGGCAGCCAAAGAAGUGAUUUUAGAAGACUCCAAAGACAAGUUGUACAGCUUCCGGCUCUCCUCUGUAGCCAGUACUAUUCCUGAGGUGUUUGUCACCUGUGAUGUGAGACUGUGCUGCAGUCCAAGCAGGUUCAAUCUCUGUCCUGGGUGCCAGUCCUCUCAGAGCCACGGAACAUCAAAGCAGAUCUUGGAGACAAAGCUGUAUCGGAUCAGCACAGGACCCAUUCAGAUCACCAAGAACCCCACCAGUG
RNAcentral lists this long non-coding RNA (565 nucleotides) under Apteryx owenii (little spotted kiwi). RNAcentral's name for it is "lncRNA (ENSAOWG00000008340.1)". The record is from RNAcentral. Lineage: Eukaryota; Metazoa; Chordata; Aves; Apterygiformes; Apterygidae.